CUCAAGUACGGCGUGCAACAAGUGCCUACCCACGUCGUCAAAGAACUCAUCAUGCACGAGGUGGUGCUUGGGGGUGGCCAGGAUGCAUCUGCUGUUACCACAACCAUCAUCGUGCGGGGAAGUUUGAAGCCAAAUUUUAUGACAAGGUUCUGCAAGAAGAGAUUGGAGGCGUUAAAGGACAUUUCGGGCCAAUUAAUGCUUUGGCAUUCAACCCGGAUG
This is a long non-coding RNA of Helianthus annuus (common sunflower), 219 nucleotides long. RefSeq lists it as uncharacterized. The record is from RefSeq and is a predicted model, not a curated record. Lineage: Eukaryota; Viridiplantae; Streptophyta; Magnoliopsida; Asterales; Asteraceae. The transcript has 3 exons.